UGCAAGUCGAACGGCAGCGGGGGGAGCUUGCUCCCUGACGGCAAGUGGCGGACGGGUGAGUAACACGUAGGAAUCUACCUUAUAGUGGGGGAUAACCUGGGGAAACUCAGGCUAAUACCGCAUAAUCUCUUCAAAGCAAAGCGGGGGAUCUUCGGACCUCGUGCUAUGAGAUGAGCCUGCGUCGGAUUAGCUAGUUGGUAGGGUAAUAGCCUACCAAGGCAACAAUCCGUAGCUGGUCUGAGAGGACGAUCAGCCACACUGGGACUGAGACACGGCCCAGACUCCUACGGGAGGCAGCCAGUGGGGAA
RNAcentral lists this ribosomal RNA (308 nucleotides) under uncultured Coxiella sp. RNAcentral's name for it is "bacterial SSU rRNA". It matches the Rfam family "Bacterial small subunit ribosomal RNA", at positions 56 to 361 of the family's 1533-position model. Lineage: Bacteria; Pseudomonadati; Pseudomonadota; Gammaproteobacteria; Legionellales; Coxiellaceae. The record is from RNAcentral.